This 1339-nucleotide long non-coding RNA is filed under the name Apteryx rowi (Okarito brown kiwi). Its description in RNAcentral is "lncRNA (ENSARWG00000008738.1)". Lineage: Eukaryota; Metazoa; Chordata; Aves; Apterygiformes; Apterygidae. The record is from RNAcentral.
GUGGUCUUUCCAUCUCUUAUUCCAUACCUGACGUGUCUUUCCUGGCUCAUCCCACUCUUGUCUUUUCUCUGUCCCAGGAUGUCCCUUGCAGCGAAGAAUGUGAUGAGGUGGCUCUGCAGCCCCUGCACCUCUGCUAUUUACUCAGCCAAGAAGAGCCAGACACCCACGCGAUGGCUGCUGUGGGACAAAAAGCAGGGGGAUCAAGCCUGGAAAGUCCAGGCCUCUGUGAGGGGACUACAGAGUCAUAUUCCACAAACCUAGACUCCCUCCUGAAGAAAGCUUGGGAAGAACAGGGCAACUCGGGACUGGAUCCAAAGCAGCUGCACUGCCAACAAGGAGAGCUGCUCGGGAGAAGCAGCAGAAAGGCGACUCGGGUAGGGAGUACUCAUUCUGUUGGCUUGGAGCCUUGCUCAGGAUUUCAGAAAGACGUGGUCGUCCAGCUGGGAUCCAGCCUGAAGUGUUUCAGGCCCAAGCUGGAACCGUCACUGCCGUAGAGGUCACCCUGGAAGAAGGAAAUUGAUAGCGGUGUUGACCAGCGAAGACGCAGCUGCUGCCAGCCCCCGGCCAGUCCUCGCGGCAGUGCCUGCGCCCCGUACGCGGGCUGAGCCCACCACCGCUAUCUGUCCCCCGCUGCCUUGCGCGGGUUUGGCGUUUCUGCUGCCUCUCCCUUUUUUCGGAGGUGGCCUCCCUCUAGACUGCUGUAGUUGAAAUCUCAACAGCCAGAGGCUGUUUUUCCUGCGUCCAGCCCGCCAACCUGGAUCUCCAUGAGCUGCCAGUAGGACCUCGUCUCCUCCCCACUUCAGGAAGGAAGGCAUUUUAAGUAAGCCGAGGUUCAAUAUGGGACAGGAAACAGAUGAAAGAAGAAAGCACCCUUACACUCCGCAUGAAACUGUGGUAAAAGUAUAUUGAACGAAAGAGUAACUACAGGAAAAAAAAAAAUCUUCUGCAUUGCCUAAUCUUCUUCAACAUUCAACUUGCUAAAAAAAAAUCACUGAUAUUAUACUAUAGCUGCAAUACUUUUGUACAACUGGCCGUAAUUAUCUGACACUCGCUUGGUCAAAUUGAGAAAAUCUAUGAAAUAUAUAUGAAAACAUUUUGCAAUAUACAGAUAAUAACCUCGCCCUUUAGACCUGUGCUUGCAGAGAUAAUGAUUUGGGGUUUGCUAAACAUUUCGCUCAUGUUUCAAACUUCUGCAAGCUGUUUUUCUUCUACGGAGGAGCUUGCAAGUGUCAGCAGUGUCUCUAUGUCUCAUUACAGGGAAGGAGCGCAGUCAGGCCCGAGGUAUGUAAUCUGAAGCUAUUUAAAUAAAAUGUGAAUGGGGGAGUGAUUUGAGUGGCUG